GUGGCUGGGAAUGGACCCCGAUGCGACCCUUGUCAAAUUGGGACAGGGGUGGGGUGUUUCUUUGCAAGAGGGGAGAGGAUAUAUGAAGCAAGGGAAAGUGGGGGCAUUUUUGAAGAGAGGGAUCGGAUCCUGGAAGAUCGGAAAAGGGGACAACGAUGCUCAGCUGAAGUUGUAUAUCACUGCAAUGCUAGAAAUAUGGAGAUCUAAGAAAUAUGUAACAGCGUAUCAGAAUUCUUAUUUGGGGAGAACAGUGCCCUCAUUUCAUAUGCCUCCCUAUAGAGAUGGAUGUGUACCACAAAGGAUCAUCAUCUUACUCCUCGGAUACAAACAUUUGCACAAAAACUAGAAUUAUAAAACCUGUUUUUCUGGAGAGAAGUGGGUCUCGGGAUGUAUCAAGCUACAAACAAUCACCUCCAAAUAUUCCUUACUUAAGAAAACCCUACAAAAUGCAUGGGGUCAGCACAGAUCGACAGGCAACUUGAAGGCAUACACACACACACACACAGAGCCCAUUGGAUUUAUGCUAUUACUGCCUGAGGCAUAACAACAAGAGCAGUGGAUGGUAUGGAAGUGUUUAUCUGCCUCGCGUACUCUCCCUCCCCAUCUCACAAACGUACAAACAGAUUACAGGCAAUCUGACAAUUUGCCUCGGGCUUAGAUACCACAAUCUCUGCCCACGGCAGCUGGCAGGACCAAGGGGAUCGGUCGGCAGGGGCAAGGGAGGGGUCAGUUUGUUAUACCCGUUGGCCUUUGAAAGCAUCACCAGUCACGAGAAGGAGGCCGCAUGCAAGUAUAGACAGUCAUCAUCCGUUUUCGCUGGACAAACUACACGGUGGACAUAAGCAGCCUAGAACCAAACACAAUCCAUCCUUCUGCUGUACAUCCACCUAUCCUCCCGAAAGUUUCAUCACCCAAGAUGCAUCCAGACUGUAGAAUUAAUGCAGUCAGACAUCACCUAAACCGACAUGGCUUUAAUGCUAUGCAAUCUUAGGAGUUGUAGUUUGGUGAGGCAACAGCACACUUUGACAGAGAAGGUGGAAGGCCUUGUGAAUAUGCAGGUUCCAUGAUUCCAUAGCAUUGAGCCACGAAAGAGACAAGAUUGCUUCUGAGCAUAAGCUAGCUACACUCCCUUUCACCUGGGAUCAGAAGGAAGGGCUUUUGUAUCAGAGACAAGAAUGCCCCUGAGCAUAUGCAGAGCACUGUCUUCUCAGCAGCACUGACUAGCUACACUCCCUUCCCAUCUGGGAUCAGGAGGAAAGGGUCUCAAAUCAAGGCGAGAAUGCCUCUGAGCAUAUGCAGAGCACUGUUUUCUCAGCAGCACUGACUAGCUGCACUCCCUUCAUACCUGGGAUUAGGAGGAAAGGGUUUCAAAUCAAUACAAGAAUGCCUCUGAGCAAAUGCAGAGCACUAACCUCUCAGCAACACUGACUAAGUAAAUUCUCUUCAUAUCUGGGACCAAGAGGAAAGGAUUUCAACAAGACAAGAAUGCCUCUGAGAAUAUGCAGAGCUGACCUUUCAGCAGCUCUGACUAGGUACACUCCCUUCCCAUUUGUCAAGGAAUUUCAAGUCAAAGACAAGAAUGCCUUGAGCAUGUGCAGAAUGUUUUCCCCUCAGAAGUAUGAGCUAGCUACAUACCCUCUCCUCUCAAUCAAAGAGGCAGGGGUUUCAUAUCAGAGCAUGUCCAGAGCAAUUUCCACUCAGACGCAUUGACUAACUACAUCUUCCCAUAUCCGAAGUCAGGAAUCAUAGAAUCAUAGAAUAGUAGAGUUGGAAGAGACCUCAUGGGCCAUCCAGUCCAACCCCCUGCUAAGAAGCAGGAAAUCGCAUUCAAAGCACCCCCAACAGAUGGCCAUCCAGCAUCUGCUUAAAAGCUUCCAAAGAAAGAGCCUCCACCACACUCUGGGGGAGAGAGUUCCACUGCCAAACAGCCCUCACAGUGAGGAAUUUCUUCCUGAUGUUCAGGUGGAAUCUCCUUUCCUGUAGUUUGAAGCCAUUGUUCCGUGUCCUAGUCUCCAGGGCAGCAGAAAACAAGCUUGCUCCCUCCUCCCUAUGGCUUCCCCUCACAUAUUUGUACAUGGCUAUCAUGUCUCCUCUCAGCCUUCUCUUCUGCAGGCUAAAUAUGCCCAGUUCUUUAAGCUGCUCCUCAUAGGGCUUGUUCUCCAGACCCUUGAUCAUUUUAGUCGCCCUCCUUUGGACGCUUUCCAGCUUGUCAACAUCUCCCUUCAAUUGCGGUGCCCAGAAUUGGACACAGUAUUCCAGGUGUGGUCUGACCAAGGCAGAAUAGAGGGGUAGAUGGGAAUCCAAAUCAUACAAGAUUCUACUGAGCAUUUGCAGAGUGCUUUCCCCUCAGCAGUACUGGCUAGAUACACCCUCUCCCAUCUGGGGUCACAAGAAAGGGCUUCCAGAUAAUACAAGAAUGCCUCUGAGCAUGUGCAGGUAACUUUCCCCUCAGCAGCAUGCUCCUUCCCUUCUGGAAUCAGAAGAAAGGGCUUUCAAAUCACAAACAAGGAUGCUCCAAAGCAUGUGCAGAAUGCCUCCCACUCAUCAGCACCGACUAGCUACACUCCCUCCUGCCUGGAAUCAGGAGGAAGGGGUUUCAAAUCAGAGGCAGGGCUCUGCAGAUCGGUGGAGAGACAAGAAGGCUACAAACACACAUAAACAGGAUCAGCGGCAGCUGUGAGGCUCAGCCUGACCUACAUAUCAGCCGGGAGAGGAUGGCCUGGUCGCGGGCGCUGCUGCGAGGGGAUGGGAUGCUGCUACAGACUGCCGCCCCCUCACCUGCCAGAGGGAGGCUGUUCGCGGAUCCAGCCUGGGGUUCCCUACUGCCAAGGGUGCAGCUACACUACAGAAUUAAUGCAGUCUGACACCACUCUGAGUGCCACGGCUCAGUGCUAAGGAAGCACCAGCAUGCUUUGGUAGAGAAGGCUAAAGACCUUGUAAAAUUGCAACUACCAUGAUUGCAUAGCAUUGAGCCAUGGUGUGAAAGUGCAUCAAUUCUACAGCGUAUCUGCACCUUCAGAAACCUAGCAUGGAAAAUGAUGCUUAAAAACCCACUUCCACCCUGGUAAUGUAGCUAAAUAGGAGAAUUGCCCCCUCAAAUAUGAAUUUUCUCCCAAACUCAUAACUUUCUAGCAGUACAAAGAGUAGAACAUGGGGUACAUCUAUACCAGGCAUGGGCAAACUUUGGCCCUCCAGGUGUUUUGGACUUCAACUCCCACAAUUCCUAACAGCCGGGAGUGGAAUUCCAACAGUGGGAGUUGAAGUCCAAAACACCUGGAGGGCCAAAGUUUGCCCAUGCCUGAUCUACACUGAGUGCAGUUUGAUGCGACUUUAACUGUCAUUUAUUUAUUACAAUAUUUAUAUCCCACCCUUCUCACUUUAACUGUCAUGGCUCAAUGCUGCGGAAUCAUGAGAUUUGUAGUUUGGUGGGACACUAACACCCUGUGCUGGUUGAACUGCUGACCUGAAGGUUGGGUUGCUGACCUGAAAGUUGGAAGUUCGAAUCCACGAGAUGUGGUGAGCUCCCAUCUAUCAGCUCUAGCUUUUGGGGACAUGAGAGAAGCCUCCCAGCAGGAUAGUAACACAUCUGGGCAUCCCCUUGGCAACAUCUCUGUAGAUAGCCAAUUCUCUCACACCAGAAGUGACUUGCAGUAUGUUCUCAAGUUGCUUCUGACACGAUAAAAAAAAAACCUCAACACUCUUUACAGAGAUGGCUAAAGCCCUUUUGAAACUACAACUCCCAUGAUUCCACAGCAUUGAGCCACAAUGGUAUCUAACUUAUUCAAUUCUACAGUGAAGCUGCACUCAGACAGAGAUAAAUGAGUGGGUGGUUAGAUGGGCAAAGCAGUGAAUAGAAGGUAAAUGCAUGCAUACACACAAGGCUAUUAUUAAUAACUUUAAAAGGCCUGGAUGUGGGAAAAAAUUUGGACAUAAAACCCCAGGACAGAAUAGGAGAGAGAUAAACUAUGUCUCUUUCCUCUCUCUUCCCUAAACUGGCUGAACACAUAGCUCCCCUGACACACAUUAAUCCGGCUAAUUUGAUCUGUUUGUUUUAAAAAGCACUUUCAAUAUUUGAAUCCCCUAAUCCCAAAGCCAAAUCUCUUGGCUGGUGUGAAGCAACCCCAUUUCAUUGUCGUCAAUAGGGCCCGAUCCCUGUGUAGUGAAAAUCACAACACCGUGGGGCUUGCAUAAUCAAAGACGGAACAGAGUGGUUGGGGUGUGUGUGUGUCUUUUGUACACUUAAAGUUUCCCAUGCAUCGCACCCUUAAUGUCCAUUUAGUGCCGGUUCAUUCAAGGACAGAAAACACCCAGUUUGUGCCCCAGUUACUGGAGGAUUCAAACAUCCCUUUUGGUGGCAGCGCUGUGUUCUCCCAGCCAUGAAAACGAUUUAGUCAAUGCUGGCAGUCCCAAGUAUCUGUGAUAAACUGUCAAUGGAAAAGAGUUGCGGAUCCAAAGUCCCCAUUUGUCUGUGUUUGGAACAGAACGAUCUCUCCUGAGAAACAUCUAUAAUGCCUUUUUGCAUUCUGCAGUCUGCACAUUUACAUGCGUUUCUGUUGUGAACCUUUGCAACACACCUGGAAAUUUGCACUGUGCCACAUAGCCAAGGAUUUUUAUACACAAUUUCCUAACCUGUAGUGACACAAGGAGUGCAGGGUGGAACAAUAGAGAACACUUAUGAAACUAGGGGAAGUGAAUGGAAGAUGUGAAAUAUCAGAAAUCUACACUUUACACCGGAGCACUUUGUUGUAGGUUUGCCCUCAGAUGCAUCUGCACUGUAGAAUUAAUGCAGUUUGACAUCACUUGAACAGCCAUGGCUCAGUGCUAUGGAAUCAUGGGUUCUGUAGUUUGGUGAGGCACCAGUAUUCUUUGGCAGAGAAGGCUAAAGGAUUUGCAAAACUACAAUUUCCAUAGCCAUGGCAGUUCAAGUGAUGUCAAACUGCAUUAAUUCCACAGUGCAGAUGCACCUGAUGGUAAACCUGCAACAAAGUGCUUCAGUAUAAAGUGUGGAAGCUGCUGAUAUUCCACACACUCUAUUCACUUUCAGUUAUUUUAUAAGGCAGUAUUAUUCCAUCCUUAUCAGGAUUCUUUUAUUUUUGGAACCCUCCUUAUAGUUCUCUUCUGCUCGUCCAAUAUUAAUGCUUCUGUUGAAGUAUUAAUAGUACCACAACUGUGUGUGUGUGUGAAUAGUAAUGUUUGGGCACAGAGUUCCAGGAACCAGGCAUGUGCUGUGGCACAGGCUGGUGAGAGGCCAGCUGCAACAAAUCACUCUGACCAAGAGGUCAUGAGUUCGAGGCCAGCUCGGAGCCUGCAUUUGUCUCUGUCUCUGUUCUAUGUUAAGGCAUUGAAUGUUUGCCUUAUACUUGUGCAGUGUGAUCCACCCUGAGUCCCCUUCGGUGUGAGAAGGGCAGAAUCUAAAUACUGUAAAUAAAUAAAUAAAUAAAUGUGUCUACACUGUAGAAUUAAUGCACUUUGACACCGUUUUAACUGCCAUGGCUCAAUGCUAUAGAAUCAUGGGGUUUGUAGUUUUGCAAGAUCUUAAGCCUUCUCUGCCAAAGAAUGCUGGGGCCUCACCAUACUAAACCUUCCAGAAUUGCAUAACAUUGAGACAUGACAAUUAAGCCAGUGCUGAAUUGCAUUGUUUCCACAGUGUGGAUGCACUCUUCGUCCAUCCAAGCUACAGUCAGGAAGUCUUUGAAAGCCUUGGAGUAUGUCAAAUGCUCAUUGGACCCCCAGUGUAGACUCCCUCCAAUAUUGGCUGAUGGUUUUCAUGUCAAUGCAAUAGCAACUCAUGUCCAGGUUUUCGUCCAGACCUUAAAGGGGCUGUCUGCAAAGCUUAACAGGUUCAGCACCUUGGAUAGCUUCUCUAAAGUUCACAAUGUGGAUUCAUAGACCAAUUGAUAGGUAAGCUUCCAUCCAUUGUCCUUUUCCUUUUUUGCAUCCUUUCUCUAAAGCAGGGGCCCUCAAACCUUUUAAGUGGAGGGCUGGCUCAUGGUCCCUCAGACUGUUGGAAGACUGGACUAUGAUGAAAUAGUCCAAAAUUAGGAUGGUUGUUGUUGUGUGCCUUCAUUUCAGACUUAGGUCAACCCUAAGUCUAACAUUUAGGACAGGGAGGGCCACAUCCAGCCCACGGGCCUUAGUUUGGGGACCCUUGUUCUAAAGGAUCUUUGUACUUAUGCAAAACUGGGGAGUUUCUCCAUUCUUACUACUAACUUGCUAUCCCUGGUAGCACCAACUUCUUGAUGCCAUUCACAGCCUGAAUCCUAGAGAAAAGAAAUUGUGGUGGCACUUAUCAGUAUGAGGACAGCCAUUUUAGACAGUGCAAGGAGGUUUUAGAUCAAGCAGAAUAUGUACAUACUAGGCAAUGAAAGUAUCCCUACAGUCAUAAUCAAUAUUCAGAAUAAAAACAGCAUGAAAUGCA
Molecule: long non-coding RNA, 6418 nt
Organism: Anolis carolinensis (green anole)
Lineage: Eukaryota; Metazoa; Chordata; Lepidosauria; Squamata; Anolidae
Exons: 2
Source: RefSeq, a predicted model, not a curated record